RNAcentral lists this ribosomal RNA (38 nucleotides) under Entoloma tenuissimum. RNAcentral describes it as "partial large subunit ribosomal RNA". Lineage: Eukaryota; Fungi; Basidiomycota; Agaricomycetes; Agaricales; Entolomataceae. The record is from RNAcentral.
UUGAUACUUCAACCUCAAAGCAGGUGUCUACAUCUGCC